CAGGGAUUGAACUCAGGUCCUUGCACUUGUGCAGCAGGUGGCGAAACCACUGAGCUAAAUCCCCGGGCUUCGGCUGACCUUUUUAAAAAGUUUGAUGCCUGAUCAUAUUCCAUGAAACCUUUGAAUACUUUUUUUUGGGUACCAGGUAUCAAACUCAGGACCUUGGCUUUUGAAGCAGGAAGCAGCACCACUGAGCUACAUUCCUGGCCCAAACCUUUAAAUACUUUAAGGAGUGAUUACUCCACCUCCUAAGUACCAUCCACACCCAGGGCUGCUAUAACAAAUCACUGUCGCUGGUGGCUUACGAUAGCAGAGUGAGUUCCUUCCACAGGCUCUGAGGGACCUUCGUUUGCUCCAUGACUAUCUCAUGGCUCCCAGUGGCUGCUGGUGAUCCUGCCAUUGCAGGAUAAUCCCGAGAUUCUUGCUCCCAGCACAGAUUCGCGAGGGGAAGGAAUGAGUUUAGCCAAGACCAACAGGAAGCUGGACGGCCGCCCCAUGGCCAGGAGAAGCCAGGGGUUUCACCCCAGCUCCCUCUGCGCCUGUUGGCGCUGCUCCCCAGCCCACUGAACACGCCUACUUUGGAUUGCUGUGAACACGACCACCGUUCACCACUGGCCCGCCUGGCGACUGCCUCUCCACACUGCGUCCUGUCCCAGAGGUGGGCGCUUGCAGGAGAGGACUCGGUGGCUGCACUUCCUGUCCUCCCCUGUGAGUCUCAGGAAGCUUGAGCAUCCCCAGUGGGUCCCAGGAAGACAUAGAUUCAAACAUUUAUCUGAACGUCUCCCAACUGCCGAUGGCUGCACGGCCUGCAGGCUUUCUGCUUCCUUUCACUUCCUCUCCUCCCAAGUCCUCUGGUGCCUCUGUCCCUGUCACGUCCCAGGGGAUGCGGGACGGGAAGCCGCCCUGGCCUGGAGCUGUGGCCCGGUCCUGGUUCUGUGGCUGCCACCUCAUCUUCCUUCCCCAUCUUCCUGGGCACUCUGUGCCUCUGGCCGAUUUGCCAGGUGUCCUAUUGCUUGGAAGUGUUCAGGGGAAAGUCAGGACCGCCCAAGGCAGGCUGUGAGGAGCUAACCCCACGACUGGUUGUUUAUAGCAGUGAGCCUGGCCGAAGCCUACGUGCCCAGGUCAGAGUAACUCGCACCCAAACCCCGUUCCCACAACUAAAACCUUCAGACUAGAAGGACAAUGUUCUAAUUACAACCAUAUAUUUUGUGUAUUCUGUUCCUGAUUAGAGAACACUUUAUUUUGUCCUUUAUGGGCCUUGUUUACCUUAAUUUCCAUAGAACCUGCACGUGGCUCACCUUUCACCCAAUUGAUUGCCUGGGACUGGCCAGGGCCUGUGUCGGUUGCACUGGCAUUGGUUGUCCUGGCCCCGCUUUCUCUCCUAGCUCUGUCUCUUAGUGUAUUUAUUUCUCAGGCCUGCAUCGCACACUGGGCAGGUGGGGACUAGGAACUUACUGCAGGAAUCUGGCAGUUCGGCACAUGUAAAAUGUGAGCUCAGAAAGCAUCUUGCUACGUUGCCCAGCUUGGGCUUGACCUCGUGCUCCUCCUGCCUCGGCCUCCCAGAAAGCUGGGAUUGCAAGUGACUCACCAACACUAAACAGGCAUCCCUAUCAAAUCAAAGCUCAGGGACCCAGCACAAGAAGGCCCUGGACUGCGGCUGGUGUCCUCAUGGUCCCAUGCGCUGCUGGAAGCCGGGGUUCAUGUGAACUCGCUCACCGUGCGGCCAGUCCGUGGCUUCCUUCCUCCUGCAGUGCCCUCGGCCUCUUAGCUGAGCUCUUACUCGGGCCGGUGGGAGGUGAGGCUCUCAGUUCGCUCCACUGAGCCCUUCCUUGCAGGAGUGUGUGAGGGGAAGCUGUGUCCUUUCCCCUACACAGGAGGAACAGGCUCAGAGGUUCAGCGCCUUCUGAGUCACACGGGGAAGUAGGGCGAGUCGGGGCACAAACUAUACCCUGGGUUACGUAAGACUGCUGGGCUCCAGCCGCGUCACCCUGCGGGCCCAGAGCAACCUGAGGCCUCAUCCUGGCCUGGCCUGGCCCCGGCACCCGGCAGGCGUCCCCUGCCCUGCAUACAUGCCCUGUCCGCUUCUGGGAGCCUCGGGUCCCUCCGCCUCGGUUGUUCCUGGGUCUCAGUCUGACACAUGGGGAUCAAAACACGUGGCGGCGGUGAUUGUUCACAUGUUUAAGGAUCUAUUGCAGUAGAAGCCACUGCCAUAAUUCUCCUUGGAGCACCCGUCGCUUCCAACGCAGGAUCCUGUCGCUAUUGCUCCUCUCUGCAGCCGCUCUGGAAGCUUCUUUCAUGGGUGUGUUUACAAGGAGUGAUCAAAAACAGGCCGACUGCUGCCGCCCAGCGCCAUGCGAUGGAGGUGGGACGUAACAGCGGGCCUGGGCCCUCACCCUCCUCAUUCAUGGAGCUGGCGCCGGGCGCCGGGUGACGGGUGACGGGUGACGGAGGCAGCAAGAACCGGGCAGCUAGAGACGUUCAGGAGAGAGGGCUCCAGAGGGGCUGCAGGAGCGGCACCCUAAGGACCAGGGAUUUCGAAGGAGGGGGGAGGAUCCGCCUUGUGUCUCUUACGGUGAUAAACUUAAAUUUAAUAAAUGUCAUAAGCGUAAAUUUAGUCCUCCGCGGGCCGUGUGACCUUGCCCUCCGCCAAGGGCAACCAGCUGGGCCCCGUGGCUCCCAGCCCCGCGCGCCCGGGGGCGGUGGCCCGGCC
This 2710-nucleotide long non-coding RNA is filed under the name Heterocephalus glaber (naked mole-rat). Its description in RNAcentral is "lncRNA (ENSHGLG00100044387.1)". The record is from RNAcentral. Lineage: Eukaryota; Metazoa; Chordata; Mammalia; Rodentia; Bathyergidae.